RNAcentral lists this ribosomal RNA (253 nucleotides) under uncultured bacterium. RNAcentral's name for it is "partial 16S ribosomal RNA". It matches the Rfam family "Bacterial small subunit ribosomal RNA", at positions 524 to 776 of the family's 1533-position model. The record is from RNAcentral.
UACGGAGGGGGCUAGCGUUGUUCGGAAUUACUGGGCGUAAAGCGCACGUAGGCGGCUUUGCAAGUUAGAGGUGAAAGCCCAGGGCUUAACCCUGGAAUUGCCUUUAAAACUGCAUCGCUAGAAUUGUGGAGAGGUGAGUGGAAUUCCGAGUGUAGAGGUGAAAUUCGUAGAUAUUCGGAAGAACACCAGUGGCGAAGGCGACUCACUGGACACAUAUUGACGCUGAGGUGCGAAAGCGUGGGGAGCAAACAGG